RNAcentral lists this ribosomal RNA (1436 nucleotides) under uncultured bacterium. RNAcentral describes it as "bacterial SSU rRNA". It matches the Rfam family "Bacterial small subunit ribosomal RNA". The record is from RNAcentral.
UCAGGAUGAACGCUAGCUACAGGCUUAACACAUGCAAGUCGAGGGGCAGCAUGGUCUUAGCUUGCUAAGGCCGAUGGCGACCGGCGCACGGGUGAGUAACACGUAUCCAACCUGCCGUCUACUCUUGGACAGCCUUCUGAAAGGAAGAUUAAUACAAGAUGGCAUCAUGAGUCCGCAUGUUCACAUGAUUAAAGGUAUUCCGGUAGACGAUGGGGAUGCGUUCCAUUAGAUAGUAGGCGGGGUAACGGCCCACCUAGUCUUCGAUGGAUAGGGGUUCUGAGAGGAAGGUCCCCCACAUUGGAACUGAGACACGGUCCAAACUCCUACGGGAGGCAGCAGUGAGGAAUAUUGGUCAAUGGGCGAGAGCCUGAACCAGCCAAGUAGCGUGAAGGAUGACUGCCCUAUGGGUUGUAAACUUCUUUUAUAAAGGAAUAAAGUCGGGUAUGGAUACCCGUUUGCAUGUACUUUAUGAAUAAGGAUCGGUUAACUCCGUGCCAGCAGCCGCGGUAAUACGGAGGAUCCGAGCGUUAUCCGGAUUUAUUGGGUUUAAAGGGAGCGUAGAUGGAUGUUUAAGUCAGUUGUGAAAGUUUGCGGCUCAACCGUAAAAUUGCAGUUGAUACUGGAUAUCUUGAGUGCAGUUGAGGCAGGCGGAAUUCGUGGUGUAGCGGUGAAAUGCUUAGAUAUCACGAAGAACUCCGAUUGCGAAGGCAGCCUGCUAAGCUGCAACUGACAUUGAGGCUCGAAAGUGUGGGUAUCAAACAGGAUUAGAUACCCUGGUAGUCCACACGGUAAACGAUGAAUACUCGCUGUUUGCGAUAUACUGCAAGCGGCCAAGCGAAAGCGUUAAGUAUUCCACCUGGGGAGUACGCCGGCAACGGUGAAACUCAAAGGAAUUGACGGGGGCCCGCACAAGCGGAGGAACAUGUGGUUUAAUCCGAUGAUACGCGAGGAACCUUACCCGGGCUUAAAUUGCAGAUGAAUUACGGUGAAAGCCGUAAGCCGCAAGGCAUCUGUGAAGGUGCUGCAUGGUUGUCGUCAGCUCGUGCCGUGAGGUGUCGGCUUAAGUGCCAUAACGAGCGCAACCCUUGUUGUCAGUUACUAACAGGUUCCGCUGAGGACUCUGACAAGACUGCCAUCGUAAGAUGUGAGGAAGGUGGGGAUGGCGUCAAAUCAGCACGGCCCUUACGUCCGGGGCUACACACGUGUUACAAUGGGGGGUACAGAGGGCCGCUACCACGCGAGUGGAUGCCAAUCCCCAAAACCUCUCUCAGUUCGGACUGGAGUCUGCAACCCGACUCCACGAAGCUGGAUUCGCUAGUAAUCGCGCAUCAGCCACGGCGCGGUGAAUACGUUCCCGGGCCUUGUACACACCGCCCGUCAAGCCAUGGGAGCCGGGGGUACCUGAAGUGCGUAACCGCGAGGAGCGCCCUAGGGUA